CCCGCCGGCGACCGGCGCACGGGUGAGUAACACGUAUGCAACCUGGCCGCCACAGGGGGAUAACCCGCGGAAACGCGGCCUAAUACCCCGUGACGCCACCGGAGGGCAUCCUCCGGUGGCCAAAGGAGCGAUCCGGUGGCGGAUGGGCAUGCGGCGCAUUAGCUAGACGGCGGGGUGACGGCCCACCGUGGCGACGAUGCGUAGGGGUCCUGAGAGGAAGGCCCCCCACACUGGGACUGAGACACGGCCCAGACUCCUACGGGAGGCAGCAG
RNAcentral lists this ribosomal RNA (272 nucleotides) under uncultured bacterium. RNAcentral describes it as "partial 16S ribosomal RNA". It matches the Rfam family "Bacterial small subunit ribosomal RNA", at positions 84 to 354 of the family's 1533-position model. The record is from RNAcentral.